AGCUCCAAUAGCGUAUAUUCAGGUUGUUGCGGUAAACAAAACUCGUAGUUGGAUUUCUGUUGAGGACGACCGGUGCACCCAUUGGGUGAGCAUCUGGCUCGGCCUCGGCAUCUUCUUGGUGAACGUGGCUGCGCUUGACUGUGUGGUGCGGUACCCAGGACUUCUACUUUGAGGAAAUUCGAGUGUCUCAAGCAGGCACACGCCUUGAAUACAUUAGCAUGGAGUAAUAAGAUAGGGCCUCGGUUCUAUUUUGUUCGUUUCUAGAGCUGAGGUAAUGAUUAAUAGGGAUAGUUAGGGGCAUUCGUAUUUAACUGUCAGAGGUGGAAUUCUUGCUAAAGACGGAUUACAGCAAACACAUUGCCAAGGAUGUUUUCA
This 375-nucleotide ribosomal RNA is filed under the name uncultured eukaryote. Its description in RNAcentral is "SSU rRNA". It matches the Rfam family "Eukaryotic small subunit ribosomal RNA", at positions 587 to 972 of the family's 1831-position model. The record is from RNAcentral.